RNAcentral lists this ribosomal RNA (403 nucleotides) under uncultured bacterium. RNAcentral's name for it is "partial 16S ribosomal RNA". It matches the Rfam family "Bacterial small subunit ribosomal RNA", at positions 30 to 526 of the family's 1533-position model. The record is from RNAcentral.
AUUGAACGCUGGCGGCAGGCCUAACACAUGCAAGUCGAGCGAGCGGCGGACGGGUGGGUAAAGUAUGGGGGCUGCCCGAUAGAGUGGGGGAACUCCUGGAAACGGUAUCUAAUACCGCAUACUAUACGAUAACCCCCAUGGGAUUAGCUAGUAUGUGAGGUAAUGGCUCACCUAGGGGACGAUCCCUAGCUGGUCUGAGAGGCUGAUCAGCCACACUGGGAUGGAGACACGGCCCAGACUCCUACGGAGGCAGCAGUGGGGAAUAUUGCACAAUGGGCGCAAGCCUGAUGCAGCCAUGCCGCGUGUAUGAAGAAGGCCCUAGGGUUGUAAAGUACUUUCAGGCAGGAGGCGUUACUGACAGAAGAAGCACCGGCUAACUCCGUGCCAGCAGCCGCGGUAAUAC